GCUGCAUGGCUGUCGUCAGCUCGUGUCGUGAGAUGUUGGGUUAAGUCCCGCAACGAGCGCAACCCUUGUCAUUAGUUGCUACAUUCAGUUGGGCACUCUAAUGAGACUGCCGGUGACAAACCGGAGGAAAGGUGGGGAUGACGUCAAGUCCUCAUGGCCCUUAUAGGUGGGGCUACACACGUCAUACAAAUGGAAUGGUACAAAGGGUCGCCAACCCGCGAGGGGGAGCCAAUCCCAUAAAGCCAUUCGUAGUCCGGAUCGCAGUCUGCAACUCGACUGCGUGAAGUCGGAAUCGCUAGUAAUCGUGGAUCAGAAUGUCACGGUGAAUACGUUCCCGGGUCUU
RNAcentral lists this ribosomal RNA (343 nucleotides) under uncultured Acidovorax sp. RNAcentral describes it as "bacterial SSU rRNA". It matches the Rfam family "Bacterial small subunit ribosomal RNA", at positions 1040 to 1382 of the family's 1533-position model. The record is from RNAcentral. Lineage: Bacteria; Pseudomonadati; Pseudomonadota; Betaproteobacteria; Burkholderiales; Comamonadaceae.